This 268-nucleotide ribosomal RNA is filed under the name uncultured bacterium. Its description in RNAcentral is "partial 16S ribosomal RNA". It matches the Rfam family "Bacterial small subunit ribosomal RNA", at positions 933 to 1214 of the family's 1533-position model. The record is from RNAcentral.
UGGAGCGUGUGGUUUAAUUCGAUGCUACGCGAAAAACCUUACCAGGGUUUGACAUGUGGGUGGUAGGAAACCGAAAGGUGACCGACUCUUCGGAGAGCCUUCACAGGUGCUGCAUGGCUGUCGUCAGCUCGUGUCGUGAGACGUUCGGUUAAGUCCGCUAACGAGCGCAACCCUCGUCGUGUGUUACAAGUGUCACGCGAGACCGCCGGUGUCAAGCCGGAGGAAGGUGAGGAUGACGUCAAGUCAGCAUGGCCUUUAUAUCUUGGGC